RNAcentral lists this ribosomal RNA (832 nucleotides) under uncultured Actinomycetes bacterium. RNAcentral describes it as "bacterial SSU rRNA". It matches the Rfam family "Bacterial small subunit ribosomal RNA", at positions 542 to 1374 of the family's 1533-position model. The record is from RNAcentral. Lineage: Bacteria; Bacillati; Actinomycetota; Actinomycetes.
UAUUCGGAUUUAUUGGGCGUAAAGAGCUCGUAGGCGGUUCAACAAGUCGGGUGUUAAACCCCCAGGCUCAACCUGGGGCCGCCACUCGAAACUGUUGUGACUAGAGUUUGGUAGGGGAUCACGGAAUUCCUGGUGUAGCGGUGGAAUGCGCAGAUAUCAGGAGGAACACCAGUAGCGAAGGCGGUGAUCUGGGCCAAUACUGACGCUGAGGAGCGAAAGCGUGGGGAGCGAACAGGAUUAGAUACCCUGGUAGUCCACGCCGUAAACGGUGGGCACUAGGUGUGGGGACUUUUCAACGGUUUCCGCGCCGCAGCUAACGCAUUAAGUGCCCCGCCUGGGGAGUACGGUCGCAAGACUAAAACUCAAAGAAAUUGACGGGGGCCCGCACAAGCAGCGGAGCAUGUGGCUUAAUUCGAUGCAACGCGAAAAACCUUACCUAGAUUUGACAUGCUGGGAAAAGCCACAGAGAUGUGGUGUCCUUCGGGGCCCAGCACAGGUGGUGCAUGGCUGUCGUCAGCUCGUGUCGUGAGAUGUUGGGUUAAGUCCCGCAACGAGCGCAACCCUUGUUCUAUGUUGCCAGCACGUAAUGGUGGGGACUCGUAGAAGACUGCCGGGGUCAACUCGGAGGAAGGUGGGGACGACGUCAAGUCAUCAUGCCCCUUACGUCUAGGGCUGCACACAUGCUACAAUGGGCGGUACAGAGGGCUGCUAAACCGCGAGGUGGAGCCAAUCCCUAAAACCGCUCUCAGUUCAGAUUGCAGGCUGCAACUCGCCUGCAUGAAGUUGGAGUUGCUAGUAAUCCCGGAUCAGCACUGCCGGGGUGAUACGUUCC